RNAcentral lists this ribosomal RNA (240 nucleotides) under Triticum aestivum (bread wheat). Its description in RNAcentral is "partial small subunit ribosomal RNA". It matches the Rfam family "Eukaryotic large subunit ribosomal RNA", at positions 1859 to 2095 of the family's 3401-position model. The record is from RNAcentral. Lineage: Eukaryota; Viridiplantae; Streptophyta; Magnoliopsida; Poales; Poaceae.
UCAGGUCUCCAAGGUGAACAGCCUCCGGCCAAUGGAACAAUGUAGGCAAGGGAAGUCGGCAAAACGGAUCCGUAACUUCGGGAAAACGAUUGGCUCUGAGGACUGGGCUCGGGGGUCCCUGCCCCGAACCCGCCGGCUGUCGGCGGAUUGCUCGAGCUGCUCACGCGGCGAGAGCGGGUCGUCGCGUGCCGGCCGGGGGACGGACCGGGAAUCGCCCCUUCGGGGGCUUUCCCCGAGCAU